UAUUUUUAAUUGACAUAGACCAAGUCCUCUAGUAAAAUGAGGAUGAUGC
Molecule: transfer RNA, 49 nt
Filed under: Tetrastigma sp. Wen 8370
Lineage: Eukaryota; Viridiplantae; Streptophyta; Magnoliopsida; Vitales; Vitaceae
Description: partial tRNA-Phe
Source: RNAcentral